Molecule: ribosomal RNA, 329 nt
Filed under: uncultured eukaryote
Lineage: Eukaryota
Description: partial 18S ribosomal RNA
Rfam family: Eukaryotic small subunit ribosomal RNA
Source: RNAcentral
ACCCUUAGAUGUCCUGGGCCGCACGCGCGUUACACUGAUGCAUUCAACGAGCUUAUAACCUUGGCCGAGAGGCCUGGGCAAUCUUGUUAACGUGCAUCGUGAUAGGGAUAGAUUAUUGAAAUUAUUAAUCUUGAACGAGGAAUUUCUAGUAAACGCAGAUCAUCAAUCUGCAUUGAUUACGUCCCUGCCCUUUGUACACACCGCCCGUCGCACCUACCGGUUGGAUGGUCCGGUGAAGCCUCGGGAUUGUGGUUCUUGCCGCUUUAUUGUAGCGUGACCGCGAGAACUUGUCUAAACCUUAUCAUCUAGAGGAAGGUGAAGUCGUAACA